AUUGAACGCUGGCGGCAUGCCUUACACAUGCAAGUCGAACGGUAACGGGUUAAGCCGACGAGUGGCGAACGGGUGAGUAAUAUAUCGGAACGUGCCCAGUCGUGGGGGAUAACGUAGCGAAAGCUACGCUAAUACCGCAUACGAUCUAUGGAUGAAAGCGGGGGAUAGCAAGACCUCGCGCGAUUGGAGCGGCCGAUAUCAGAUUAGGUAGUUGGUGGGGUAAAGGCCCACCAAGCCGACGAUCUGUAGCUGGUCUGAGAGGACGACCAG
RNAcentral lists this ribosomal RNA (270 nucleotides) under uncultured bacterium. Its description in RNAcentral is "partial 16S ribosomal RNA". It matches the Rfam family "Bacterial small subunit ribosomal RNA", at positions 30 to 307 of the family's 1533-position model. The record is from RNAcentral.